GGGCCCGUGGCUCAAUGGUUAGAGCGUUGGACUUCUGAUCAACAGGUCGCGGGUUCGAGCCUCGGGUCGA
Molecule: non-coding RNA, 70 nt
Organism: Schistocephalus solidus
Lineage: Eukaryota; Metazoa; Platyhelminthes; Cestoda; Diphyllobothriidea; Diphyllobothriidae
Source: Rfam